This 725-nucleotide ribosomal RNA is filed under the name uncultured Bacteroidales bacterium. RNAcentral's name for it is "bacterial SSU rRNA". It matches the Rfam family "Bacterial small subunit ribosomal RNA", at positions 30 to 744 of the family's 1533-position model. Lineage: Bacteria; Pseudomonadati; Bacteroidota; Bacteroidia; Bacteroidales. The record is from RNAcentral.
UGAACGCUAGCUACAGGCUUAACACAUGCAAGUCGAGGGGCAGCAUGGUCUUAGCUUGCUAAGGCCGAUGGCGACCGGCGCACGGGUGAGUAACACGUAUCCAACCUGCCGUCUACUCUUGGACAGCCUUCUGAAAGGAAGAUUAAUACAAGAUGGCAUCAUGAGUCCGCAUGUUCACAUGAUUAAAGGUAUUCCGGUAGACGAUGGGGAUGCGUUCCAUUAGAUAGUAGGCGGGGUAACGGCCCACCUAGUCUUCGAUGGAUAGGGGUUCUGAGAGGAAGGUCCCCCACAUUGGAACUGAGACACGGACCAAACUCCUACGGGAGGCAGCAGUGAGGAAUAUUGGUCAAUGGCCGAGAGGCUGAACCAGCCAAGUCGCGUGAAGGAUGAAGGAUCUAUGGUUUGUAAACUUCUUUUAUAGGGGAAUAAAGUGUGGGACGUGUCCCAUUUUGUAUGUACCCUAUGAAUAAGCAUCGGCUAACUCCGUGCCAGCAGCCGCGGUAAUACGGAGGAUGCGAGCGUUAUCCGGAUUUAUUGGGUUUAAAGGGUGCGUAGGUGGUAAUUUAAGUCAGCGGUGAAAGUUUGUGGCUCAACCAUAAAAUUGCCGUUGAAACUGGGUUACUUGAGUGUGUUUGAGGUAGGCGGAAUGCGUGGUGUAGCGGUGAAAUGCAUAGAUAUCACGCAGAACUCCAAUUGCGAAGGCAGCUUACUAAACCAUAACUGAC